Molecule: ribosomal RNA, 274 nt
Filed under: uncultured bacterium
Lineage: Bacteria
Description: partial 16S ribosomal RNA
Rfam family: Bacterial small subunit ribosomal RNA
Source: RNAcentral
UACAGAGGGUGCGAGCGUUGUUCGGAAUUACUGGGCGUAAAGCGCGCGCAGGCGGCUCUUUAAGUCUGCCGGUCAAAUGCCGGGGCUCAACCCCGUGCUCGCCGGAGAUACUGGAGGGCUGGAGACACGUAGAGGCAAGCGGAAUUCCGGGUGUAGCGGUGGAAUGCGUAGAGAUCCGGAAGAACACCGGAGGCGAAGGCGGCUUGCUGGGCGUGAUCUGACGCUGAGGCGCGAAAGCGUGGGGAGCGAACAGGAUUAGAAACCCCCGUAGUCC